Molecule: ribosomal RNA, 511 nt
Filed under: Streptomyces sp. 310B09
Lineage: Bacteria; Bacillati; Actinomycetota; Actinomycetes; Kitasatosporales; Streptomycetaceae
Description: bacterial SSU rRNA
Rfam family: Bacterial small subunit ribosomal RNA
Source: RNAcentral
UAGUGGCGAACGGGUGAGUAACACGUGGGCAAUCUGCCCUUCACUCUGGGACAAGCCCUGGAAACGGGGUCUAAUACCGGAUAACACUCUGUCCCGCAUGGGACGGGGUUGAAAGCUCCGGCGGUGAAGGAUGAGCCCGCGGCCUAUCAGCUUGUUGGUGGGGUGAUGGCCUACCAAGGCGACGACGGGUAGCCGGCCUGAGAGGGCGACCGGCCACACUGGGACUGAGACACGGCCCAGACUCCUACGGGAGGCAGCAGUGGGGAAUAUUGCACAAUGGGCGAAAGCCUGAUGCAGCGACGCCGCGUGAGGGAUGACGGCCUUCGGGUUGUAAACCUCUUUCAGCAGGGAAGAAGCGAGAGUGACGGUACCUGCAGAAGAAGCGCCGGCUAACUACGUGCCAGCAGCCGCGGUAAUACGUAGGGCGCAAGCGUUGUCCGGAAUUAUUGGGCGUAAAGAGCUCGUAGGCGGCUUGUCACGUCGGAUGUGAAAGCCCGGGGCUUAACCCCGC